AUCGUAAUAGUUCAUUAGAUUCACAUUUUCUGCCCACUUUGACCCAUGCUCGAAACUCAAAAUGGCUCCGAAUUGAUGGAUCUUCAAAAAUAUGCUUAGCAAGAGUUGUCUUUCCAACGCCCGCCAUCCCAAUAAUCGAAUAGUGUUUAUCUUCAAGAAGAUUAUCUCUUGCUUUUUGAAAUUCAUCAGAUAAUCCAACCAUCUUUGAUUUGAUUCCACCAAAAUCGAUUCUUGAGGAAAUAGGCUCGCCUUCUUCUUCUGGCAUAUUCUCCAUUUCAUAAGUGUAUUCCUCCUCCAUCUUCUUCAUCUUCUCGACGAAGCAAUCAACAUGGUGUUGCAGACUCUGCAGCUCUACAGAGAAUGACAAGUUGUCCCUCUCGCUGUCGAGUUGUGGAAGAAUCUGAGGUAAGACAUGGGAUUCGAGUAAAUCUUCAAAUUCCCAAAUUGCCUCUUUGAUUCGUUCAUCCGCAGCAUUCACCUUCGUCCUGAUCUUGCUGCAGCUGGUCUCGUCCAAUUUGAGCAGAACAUUCUGCAAGCGAUCCACCUCGUCGUAGGCAGGUAGUAAGAUCUGUGGAGAGGGGGAAAUGCAAAACAAUUGUAGAAUACAGUGAAUCGUAUUCUUGAGAAAAGUCACUGCACCAUAAUCAGCUGAGGGUAGUAUUUGUGGAGAGUGGGAAACGAGAGAAAUGCGAGACGAUUGUAGAAUACGCUCAAUCGUAUUCUUCAGAGAAUCCGCCGCACCAUAAGCCGCCAUAUCCACAAACUUAGCUCAGAAAUUUUCUUCCAAAAACUGUGUGGUAGAAAUUGCCUAAGAAAGAAACGGAGAUGAAGAAGAAUUAUAAUAAGCAAAAUGAGAUGAAACAAAUGAUAGAUCUUCUGUGCUGUACCUCUCGUGGAGGAGUUGGCACAAGUCAACGGCGGCGGCGGCGGCAGCUGGUUUUGAUACAAUCUCAGAAACAUUCAAGAAUUUUAGUAAAUGAUUUUGAUACGAUGGUAAAAUGGAUGUAUUGAUGAUUUUGAAGGCAAAUUAAGGUGUGGAAGAAUAAUUACAGGGAAGAUUAAUUAUUAUGAAGAUUGAGCAGUUGAUCAAGCGCGUUGAAAAUUAUAACAGCGGCAAGCAAUCUAACUCAUAAAUAAUGACAAUUUGACAUUUUUACAUAAUUUAAAAUUUUGAAAUAAAUAAAUAUAUUGUGGCUAGGAGUGUACAUUAAAUAAAAAUACUGAUAAAUUUCAAACAUUAAUUUUCUACAUUGUUAGAGGUGUAACUCUGUUUAAUUUAUUUGGAUUAUCGAGUUUGACAUGAAUUUUUACUUAGAUUAGCUUAUCUUUUGAAAAGUUUGAUCAUUUAUAUUUACAUGCAAUUCAUCCAAUUUUUUACUUAUAAAUUAUAUGUCAAACAAAAUUGGAUUUUGGGUGGUUGUAUAUAUAGUCCCUAAUAAUAAUAAUAAUUUUAACCUUAUAACUCCUAUUAGAAAAAUUAUACAAUUAUAAACAAAUUCUGCUUAUACUAAAUUAUCCAUGAUGCUAACAAAUUUAGGAAUUUGAAAGUUCCUUGUGUUUUGGAUUGCUGGAGUUUGCAUCGAGGUGAUUAGGCACUUUCGUUCUUUUUGGGCUUACGAUUUUGAGUUCGGCCCAUGUUUUCCUAUUUCUUUAGAAUUCUGUUUGGGCUUUGGAUCCCUUAUCGGCCCUUUUAGUUUAUUAGGUGGUGUUGUUUUUUUUUUUUUGAGGCGGUGUUGCAUGUUGUUUCAAGGGCUUUAUGUUUUAUUUUUCGAUUAAUAUUUAAUUUAAGUAAUUAAUAUCCUUUUUUAAGGGAUUUAACUAAACCGGUAAACUUAAUUUUAAUAAGUAACAGAAUAUAAAUUUUAGCGUGAGUUCGAUUAGACAUGAGAGGUGAUGUGAUCUUCAUGUAGCAUUCAAAGCAUCUUAUAGGUAACUAUGAGACAUCUUUAAUGAAAAAUCAAUAAAUAAAGCCAACUACUCAACCAUCUCUCCUGCAUUUCGACACUAUAAAUAAAGCUUGAUAUAUAUGAGAUGGAAGUAUGAUAUAUUCAUUCAGAUUAAUUGCAGCAAACUCAUCUCUGCCACCAAUCUGUAAUCUACAUGCACUAUAAACACAGAUAGAGCAGUAAAGAAUAAUUCUUGCUUGCAAACUAAAGCAUUCACUAACUGUAAGAACACAUAAAAUUCAUGCACAAAGCAAAAAUUGCAGUCCUUAAAUAAGACACUAAUGUUUUCACACAAAUUCAACUUACAACAAUUUUAGUUACAAACACCACUCAGCACUGAGGUUUCAUAAUCCUCAACAAAUGAGUAUGAACAACAAUCUCAAUAUAUCAUUUGCAAAAGAGAUGGAAAAGAAACACAAUAAACAAGCAAUCAAUCUCAGAGAAAUUGAAACAGAAAUUAAUAAGUUAAUCAUGGAUUUAAUUCAAUCUGCUCUGGUCUGAUUCUAACACCUUGUUUGAUCCUCAUAUGAAAAUCUAUCUGUAAAGCCGGUUUCUCUGUCUUUUGAGUCUAACCAACUAAUUCCAAGUUCAUUUUGAAAUAUGAAGCCAGAAAUUAACUAUUAUACUGCCAGAAUCUGAGAUUUUUAAGCUAUUAAACAAACAAAUCAACUGAUUACACACAAAUGUCAAAACAAAGUGAAAAUCAUGCAUCACAACUAAUGCUUUCACACAAAUCCAACUUACAACAAUUUCGGUAACAAACUGCAUACACAAUUCAGCAUUCAGGUUUCAUAAUCCCCAACAAAAUCCAAAUCAAGUUACAAAUCCUUAAUUCAGACGACAACGUGAUACAAUCUACAUUAUGGGAUAACGCAGCGUCUGACCCCUUCAGCUCUCCCAUUUGCCUGAAAAGUGACAGAACUGUGACUAUAACAGAAGAUAUAUAUUUAUGACAUGAAUUGAUUUGGUUUGUAUGUGAAAAAAGAGAAGAAGCAGGGAAGAAACAUUAAGACGUGAUAUAUAUUGCAAAGUAGUGAGACUAACCUGUCAGGCAAGUUGCUAAUUCACUUGAGCUCAAAAAGAAGAUUUGACGAUAAGUUUGAAGGAAAACUUAUCUUUUAAUUGAUUGGCACAAGCCACAGCUAAAGGAUUGCACUCCACUAAUUUAAUGGUCGUGAUCGAAGACUGAUCAUCCGGCAAAUCGAGCUGUUGCAAUUUGUAGCAGUGCUCCAUCCUUAGUAUACGAAGCCUCGGGAGGCUUCCACGUUGAGGUCUCCAUUGCACCAAAUCGGUGUCUUCAAUUCGAAGUUCAAUAAGAUUCAAGAAACUCCCCGGUUUUAUUUCCCACUCUGGGCCUCGAAAGGCAUAGCAUUCUAAUCGGAGAAACCCGAGAUUUGGAAGCAGCGAACCAAUGUCAUUUAGAGACCCCCAAGGAUAUCCAACGCCAAUCAAUUCUAAACAACCGAGACUUGAUGGGAACAUUGAAGGAUGAAAAAUAGUAGGAAACUCACGCCUUAUCUCGGGAUUCCUGAUUCUAUAGCAAAGUGUUCCCAAAUUCCGGAGUUCUGAUAUAUAACUCAAAGAACUCAAUGGGUUGACUUCAUCAUCAUCAUAAGGCUUCAACUCCACUACAAUUUCUAAUUGCUUUAAAUUAGGAAUUCUUUUGAGAACUUCCCUUGUACAACUGUUUGCACUCACACCAUAAAGUCUGAUGAGUUUAUUCAAGGUAGCAUCAUCAGUACUUGGGGUUGGUAGGUCCUUUCCCGGGAUCUCAAUAUGCUCUAAUUCUUGCAUGUCCCAAAUUUGCACAGGCAUAUAUGACUGAACUCCACGCUUUUUAAUGAUCAUAUGUCUGUAAAUAAUCAGGAAUUGAAGUUGAAAAAGGUUGGAUAUGGAAGCAGGGAGGUCACCGUUGUAAGUUAUGGCAAGAAGUCGUAGACAAACUAGUUUGAAAAUUUCAGUUGAGAUAUGGUAAAAUCGGACUUGACCAGCAUGUAGUACCCUGAGCAACUUGAAACCCAUGGCUUGUAUUGGAAUUGGAUAUGGGUGACCAAAACAAAGGAGAGAACGGACAGUCGAUGCACAAUCAAUUUUUAUCGAAUCAGACACUUGUUUGAAGCAUAAUAAACUGUUCCAAUGGGAACUCAAACGGCGCUGGUCUUUUAUAACAUCAUCACAACAUUGUAUGACAUGUAGAAACUUGAUCCUACUAGCUUCUACCCUACACAUGUGCUGCCAACAAGAAUGCACACGAUACUUUCUAUACCAAAACCAAGGUUCAUCAUCCUGUGAUUUGUCGAGAACAACAUGAUACCACAUCGAAAGCUUUCCCAAGCAUGUCUGCUUAAAAAGAUAAAAACUUUCUUCUCCACUCGGUUGAAGAAACACAUCAGCACUCAACGUAUAGAAGAGCAAUAUUACCGUGAUAUCCCAAUAUGGAGGGAAAGCUCCCAUGUAGAGAAGAAACAUUUUUAAAUAUUGGGGUAAGUAAUUAUAGCUUGGGAAAAGUACCUCUGAUAUUUGAUUAUAUGCAUCCACAAAGACUGAACUAUGUUUUUUGAUGAUUACCUCAGUCCAGUAUUCUGGGGUCUUGUCAGCUUCUGAUAAGAGCUUUGCAACCGUGACUAUCAUAAGAGGAAGGCCUUCACAUUUCAUGGCAAUCUUCUCUCCAAGUUUCUCAAGUUGAAAUGGAAAACCCUCUUCACCAAACACUUUCUCACCAAGUAAUUCCUUACUUUCUUCUUCAUUCAACAAGCGUAAUCUUUCAAAUUCACACCCACCCUCCGCGCAUACUAUUGCUUGUCUGCUUGUAAGUAUGAAUUGAAUCCUUCCAUCAAUAUUCUCAUGUCGCAAGAAAUUUCUAAUGAGAUUUACUGCUUGCAUCUCCCAAACAUCAUCGAACACGAUGAGACAUUUCUCAUCCUUCAAUUUUUCUUUCAAUACUUCAACUAAAUUCUCCCCAUUUUCAAGCAGUUCAUCAGCGUUGGGAAACACUUGAGCUAGAACGCAUGGUAAUAGUUCACAAGAUUCACAUUUUCUGCCCACUUUCACCCAUGCUCGAAACUCAAAAUGGCUCCGAAUUGAUGGAUCUUCAAAAAUAUACUUAGCAAGAGUUGUCUUUCCAACGCCCGCCAUCCCAAUAAUAGAAUAUGUUACGAUAAUGGAGGAGGAGAAGCAAAUGAGUUCUGGGCUAUUGGCUGAAAAAGGUGCUGAGCUGGCUGAAGAAAGAAAUUUCGUUGGCAAAACAGGGGAGGAUUUCCUCUCAAAAAGUGGCUAAGGAAGAAGAUGGUUGUUAUUUGAAGAAGCGUGUUUAUGUUAUCUAUUUAAUUGUUAUUUGUUUACUUUUCCAAGGCAGUUAGUUACGUGAGGGGACCAGCAUAUAUAUAUGCUUUGCAUGUAAAAGUUUUGACCUAAGAAAUGAAAUAUCCUAUCUCUCAUGCUUCUGCCUCCUCCUCCGAUUCUUUCUCUAUUUCUCCCAUCUAUUCUUCUUCUUCCUCAUCAAGUUUUUAACUUUAUACACUAUCCUUACAGAUCCACUACCGUGAAACAUAAAUCCAGCUAGAUCUAUUACAUUUGGUAUAUCAGAGCAAGGUUUCUUUGCUUUUAUUUAGCAAAGCUUGUUCGAUCAUGGCCGACGGUACGCGUUUGAAGGAACUGCAGGAAGCACAAAAGAAAAUGGAUCAGUUAUUGCAAGCUGAAUCAUUAAAAAGAACAGCUACUGAAGAAAGGUUUAAAGAGCAGAUAGCAGGGCUAGAUCAGAAGGUGGAUGCAAAAUAUGAUCAGUUAUCUGUCAUCUUGGGGGAAAUCAAACAACAACUCCUGUUUUUGGGCCAGAACAGGGAGGAUAUGGGAUCUAUUUUGGGUCCACCUCCGAACUCAGGCAAGAAAGAGGUAAUUCUAAUAGAAAUCAUGUUUUUACAUCUAAAAUCAGGAAUGAUUACUCAUCUCAGUCUAGUUUCAAUUCUGGAAAUUCUGUGCAUAGAAUCGAUUUCCCAAAAUUUGAUGGCACCAACCCUAGAGGAUGGAUUCUUAAGUGCAAUACCUAUUUCAAAUUGACUGCUGCUAUGUCUGAUGAGAAUAUGGUUCAACUUGCUGUUCAUAAUUUUGAGGGGAAAGCACUGCAGUGGUUACAGAAUUUUGGGUGUGAGAAUUUAUUUCUAUUACCUGGGAGCAAUUCAUGGAUGUGGUGGCUGCUAGGUUUGAGGAUUUGAAUGAGGGAAAAAUAGUAAUGGAAUUCAAGAAUCUUAAACAAAAUGGUUCUUAUGAUGAGUAUGUAGGAAAAAUUUGAAGAANGAUAUUUGAUUAUAUGCAUCCACGAAGACUGAACUACGUUGCUUGAUGAGUACCUCAGUCCAAUAUUCUGGGGGUCUUGUCGGCUUUUCGAUAGGAGCUCUGCAACCGUGACUAUCAUAAGAGGAGGCCUUCACAUUUCUUGGCAAUCUUCUCUCCCAGUUUCUCAAGUUGAGGUGGGAAACCCUCUUCACCAAACACUUCUCACCAAGUAAUUGCUUACUUUCUUCUCAUUCAACAAGCGUAUUCUUUCGUCACCCACCCUUUGUGUAUAUUAUUUGUUUUCUGCUUGUAAGUAUGAAUUGAAUCUUCCAUCAAUAUUCUCAUGUCGCUAGAAAUUUCUUAAUGAGAUUUACUGCUUGCAUCUCCCAAACAUCAUCGAACACGAUGAGACAUUUCUCAUCCUUCAAUUUUUCUUUCAAUACUUCAACUAAAUUCUCCCCAUUUUCAAGCAGUUCAUCAAAGUUGGGAAACACUUGAGCUAGAACGCAUGCUAAUAGGUCACAAGAUUCACAUUUUCUGCCCACUUUCACCCAUGCUCGAAACUCAAAAUGGCUCCGAAUUGUUGGAUCUUCAAAAAUAUGCUUAGCAAGAGUUGUCUUUCCAACGCCCGCCAUCCCAAUAAUCGAAUAGCUUUUAUCUGCAAGAAGAACAUCUCUGGCUUUUUGAAAUUCAUCAGAUAAUCCAACCAUCUUUGACUUGAUUCCACCAAAAUCAAUUCUUGAGGAAAUAGGCUCGUCUUCUUCUUCAGGCAUAUUCUGCAUUUCAAUGAAGUACUCCUCCUCCAUCAUCUUUACCAUCUCGACGAAGCAAUCAACAUGGUGUUGCAGACUCUGCAGCUCUACAGAGAAUGACAAGUUGUCUCUCUCGCUUUCGAGUUGUGGAAGAAUCUGAUGUAAGACAUGGGAUUCGAGUAAAUCUUCGAAUUCCCAAACUGCCUCUUUUAUGAGUUCAUCCAAAGCAUUCACCUUCGUCCUGAUCUUGCUGCAGCUCGUGUCGUCCAAUUUGAGCAGAACUUUCUGCAACUCAUCCAUCUGGCCGUAGGCAGGUAGUAAGAUUAGUGGAGAGUGGGAAACGAGAGAAAUGCGAGGCGAUUUUAGUAGAAUACGCAUAAUGGUAUUCUUGAGAGAAGCCGCCGCACCAUAAGCCGCCAUAUCCAAAUAAAUAAUCUGCUGAUCGUUGAAAUUAGCUCAGAAAUUUCCUCCAAAACUCUGUGGUAGAAAUCGCCUAAGAAAGAAACGGAUAUAAGAAUUAUUUUGAUGUUAGAUUAACAGAACUGUGUAUUAAAAUGAACUAAAAUUAGCUGCAAUAUGAAGCUUAAAAUGAACUAAAAUCAGCUGUAACAUGAAGCUUAAAUGAACUAAAAUCAGCUGCUAUAUGAAGCUUAAAGUGAACUAAUUAAAUCAGCUGCAACAUGAAGCUUUUAAAAUAAACUAAAAUCAGCUGCAAUAUGAAGCUUAAAAUUAACUCUAAAAUAAACUAAAAUCAGCAUAUGAAGUUUGAAAUGAACUCAAAUCAGCUGUAAUAUGAAGCUUAAAAUGAACUCUAAAAUGAACUAAAAUCAACUGCAGUGCGACAAACCCAAUCAGCUGAGAAUACGAUUGUUGAAACGACAUUGCUGAGCUCUGCAAAUUUCCUUCAAAAUGAAGCUUAAUAUCAACUGCAAUUAGCCCAGAAUAAAAUUGUGUGGUAGAAAUCGCCUAAGAAAGAAACGGAGAAGAAGAAUUAUAAUAAGCAAACAGAGAUGAAACAAAUGAUAGAUCUCAGCUAGCUCUGUGCUGUACCUCUCGUGGCACAAGUCGACGGCGGCGGCGGCAGCUGGUUUUGAUUUUGAUACAAUUUCAGAAACAUUCAAGAAUUUUAGUAAAUGAUUUGAAAAGAUGUGUAUAAUGCUAAUGGUAAAAUGGAUGUAUUGAUGAUUUUGAAGGCAAAUUAACGUGUGGAAGAAUAGUUAAAGGAGCGAGAAACAAAGCAACGGAAGAUUAAUUAUGAAGAUUGAGCAAUCAAGCAGUUGAACAGUUGAUCAAACGUGUUACGAUUGGAUUCACUCCUUUAGUUGUAUUGAUAAGAUAAGAUUGCUACGACGCCAUAAAGUAAAGUCGUGCUUUGCUUUUGCAUGGGGAAUUAGGGCCACUCAUUUCAAUAUUAAACCUUCUUUACAUAAAUAUUUCAACUCUAUUUUAUUUUACUAGCAGAAAGAGCGCACGUUGUACACAUCUUAUUUUAUUUGAUAAGAUAAAAAUAUAUAAAUAUAGUAUCUAUUAUAUUUAACUUUUCAAUUAACAAUUUGAUCUAUUUGAUUCUACAACUAUAAUAAACUCUUUUUAAAAUAAUAAUCAAUAAAUUAAUAAACUCUAUAAAUUAAUAAAUUUCUUAUGUUCUAACUUGGGUCAAUUCAAAAAAUCAUCAAUUUUAAUAAAACUUUCUCCGUCCGCCAAAAGUAUGCCACUUUUGUCAUUUUUAGCGUCCGUGAAUAGUAUGUUACUUACAUUUUUAGGUACAUUUUUUUUAUCAUUUAUUUUUAAAAAUACCCAUUAAUUAUUUACAAAAAUAAAUAAAUAAAUAAAAAAUCAGCCUGUAUUCAAUCACAUCCACUCAUAUCAUACAAUGGUGGGACAAUUUUUCUCCACUACAUAAAAAUCACCAAUCAUUUUAUUAAAAUCGGUGUCAACCAAAGUGACAUACUUUUUGUGGAUGAAAGGAGUAAUAAUUAUUUUUUAGAGAACCCUGUUGUAAACAUAUAGGUCCUGUUAAUAUUAUAAAUUAAUAAUUCUUAAAAUAUUACAAUUAUGUAUAUUAUGGUAAUUGUUAAAAUAUAAACCUAUUGUUGAAUCAUCUUAAUUAACUAAAUUUUUGGGCUGCCAACUUAAUUAACUAAUAUACUUUCUGCUUAAUUAUCCUUAUACAAUUGUGAUUGUCUGCUUAUACUUAAUUUUUGGGCUUAGGAUUUUGAGUUCGGCCCAUGUUUUCCUUGUUCUUUAGAAUUCUUUUUGGGCUUUUGGCACUUCGACCUUUUGUUAUUUGGAUCCUUUCUCGCCCCAUCUUUUUUUCUAUAUAAAGAAAAAAAAUAUUAGCUUAUAAAUAAAUUCAAACUUGUAUAAAAAAAAAUUGAACUGAAUUGCUUACCAAAUAUUAUAACAUUUGAAAAAUCUUUGACUGAAGGGGAAGAAUGGCAGGAGAAAAAAGAUGGUGAAAGAAAUAUGGUUCAAAGAAAAUUUGCGUGAAAGUAUAUUAUGUAUAAGUGAAUUGUGUAACUGUUGAAGACGUGUGUAAUUUAAAUAAAUUGACUUAUUUAUUUAUUUAUAUCUUUUAAGUUGGUCACUGUUGUGGGUUAGUGGGAUACAUAUGUAAAACUACCGUGACAUGAUGUGAGUUAAAUUUGCCGUUAAAUAGUUAAAAAUUAGUAAGAUUCUGUUAAAAAUUUGGCCCUAAAUAUUUUUCUGUUAAACUGCUUCUUUAUAUAUUAUAUAGAUUAUUUCGAUUAAUAUUUAAUUUAAGUAAUUAAUAUCCUUUUUUAAGGGAUUUAACUAAACCGGUAAACUUAAUUUUAGUAAGUAACAGAAUAUAAAUUUUAGCGUGAGUUCGAUUAGACAUUAGAGGUGAUCUGAUCUUCAUGUAGCAUUCAAAGCAUCUUAAUUAUAGGUAACUAUGAGACAUCUUUAAUGAAAAAUCAAUAAAUAAAGCCAACUACUCAACCAUCUCUCCUGCAUUUCGACACUCUAUAAAUAAAGCUUGAUAUAUAUGAGAUGGAAGUAUCAUAUAAUUCAUUCAGAUUAAUUGCAGCAAACUCAUCUCUUCCACCAAUCUGUAAUCAACAUGCACUAUAAACACAGAUAGAGCAGUAUAGAAUAAUUCUUGCUAGCAAACUAAAACAUUCUCAAACUAAGAACACAUAAAAUUCAUAACACAGAAAAAUUACAGUCCUUGAAUAAGAGACUAAUGUUUUCACACAAAUCCAACUUACAACAAUUUUUGCUACAAACACAUUCAGCACUCAGGUUUCAUAUAUAAUCCUCAACAAAUCACAAUCCUUAAAUUCAUACAACAAUGUGGUAAUACAACAAUGGAAUUCAAAUCUUGGGAUGACGCGGCGUCUGAUCCCUUCGGCUCUCUCAUUUGCCUGAAAAUUGAUAGAGCUGUGACAAUAACAAAAGAUAUAUAUUUAUGAUAUGAAUUGAUUUGUCUGUGAAAAAAGAGAAGAAGCAGGGAAGAAAUAUUAAGACGUGAUAUAUAUUGCAAAGUAGUGAGACUAACCUGUUACGCAAGUUGGAAAGUCACUUUAGCUCAAAAGAAGAAUAGACCAUAAGUUUGUAGGAAAACUUAUAUCUUAAUUGAUUGGCAAAAGCCACAGCUAAAGGAUUGCACUCCACUAAUUCAAUGGUCCUGAUCGAAGACUGAUCAUCCGACAAAUCGAGUUGUUGCAAUUUGUAGCAGUGCUUCAUCUUUAGUGUACGAAGCAUCGGGAGGCUUCCACAUUGAGGUCUCCAUUGCACCAAAUCGGUGUCCUCAAUUUGAAGUUCAAUGAGUUUCAAGAAACUCCCCGGUGUUAUUUCCCACUCUCGGCCUCGAAAGGCAUAGCAUUCUAAUUUGACAAUCUCGACUUUAGGAAGCAGCGAACCAAUGUCAUUUAGAGACUCCCAAGGAUAUCCCAACCCACUCAAAGAUAACAUUUUGAGACUUGAUGGGAACAUAGAAAGACGAAUAAUAGUAGGAAACUCACGCUUUAUCUCGGGAUUCGUCAUUCUAUAGUAAAGUGUUACCAAAUUCUGGAGUUCUGAUAUAUAACUCAAAGAACUCAAUGGGUUGGUUUCAUCAUCAUCAUAAGGCUUCAACACCACUUCAAUCGCUAAGUCCUUUAAAUUAGGAAUUCUUUUGAGAACUUCCAUUGUACAACUGUUUACACUCACACCAUAAAGUCUAAGGAGCUUGUUCAAGGUAACAUCAUCUGUGUUAGGGGUUGGUAGGUCCCUUCCCCAUAUCUCAAGAUGCUCUAAUUCUUCAAUAUCCCAAAUUUGCACAGGCACAAAAGACUGAACUCCGCGCUUUUUAAUGAUCAUAUGUUCAUGAAUAAUCAAGAAUUGAAGGUUAAAAAGGUUGGAUAUGGAAGGUGGGAGGUCCCCGUUGCAAGUUAGGGCAAGGUACCGCAGACAAACAAGUUUCAAAAUUUCAAUUGGGAUAUGGUAAAAUCGGACUUGAAAAGCAACAAGUACAUUGAGCAACUUGAAACCCAUGGCAUGUAUUGGGACUGGAUAUUGGUGAUAAGGACCGAAACAAAGGAGAGAACGAACAGUGGAUGCACAAUCACUUCUUAUCGAAUCACACACUUGUUUGAAGCAAAAUAAACUAUUCCAAUGGGCACACAAGCGACGCUGGCCUUUUAUAACGUCAUCACAACUUUGUAAGACAUGCAAAAACUUGAUCCUACUAGCUUCUACUCUACACACGUGCUGCCAACAAGAAUGCACACGAUAGUUUCUAUCCCAAAACACAUGUUCAUCCCCCUGUGAUGUAUCGAGAAGAAGAUGAUAAAACAUCGAAAGCUUUUCCAAACAUGUCUUAAAAAAAUGAUCAAAACUUUCUUCUCCACUCGGUUGAAGAAACACAUCAGCACUCAACAUAACAUUGAGCAUGGUUAUAUGGAUAUCCAAAUAUGGAGGGAAAUCCCCCAUAUAGAGAAAAAGCAUUUUUAACUGCUGGGAUAAAUAGUCAUAGCUUGGGAAAAGUACCUCUGAUAUUUGAUUAUAUGCAUCCACAAACACUGAACUAUGUUGUUUGAUGAGUAUCUCAGUCCAGUAUUCUGGGGUCUUGUCGGCUUCUGAUAGGAGCUUUGCAACCGUGACUAUCAUAAGAGGAAGACCUUCACAUUUCUUGGCAAUCUUCUCUCCAAGUUUCUCAAGUUGAAAAGGAAAACCCUCUUCACCAAACACUUUCUCACCAAGUAAUUCCUUACUUUCUUCGACAUUCAACAAGCGCACUUUUUGAUACCCACCCGUCGUGGAUACUAAAUUUAUUCUACUUGUAAGUAAGACUUGAAUCUUUCCACCUAUAUUCUCUUCUAGCAACCAAUUUGUCAAGCGAUCUGCUGCUUGUAUCUCCCAAACAUCAUCCAACACGAUGAGACAUCUCUCAUCCUUCAACUUUUCUUUCAAUUGUUCAACUAAUUUCUCCUCAUCAUCAUCUCCUUGGGUAAGCAGUUCGUAAGCGUUGGGAUCCACUUGAGCUCGAACGCAUCGUAAUAGUUCUUUAGAUUCACAUUUUCUGCCCACUUUCACCCAUGCUCGAAACUCAAAAUGGCUCCGAAUUGAUGGAUCUUCAAAAAUAUGCUUAGCAAGAGUUGUCUUUCCAACGCCCGCCAUCCCAAUAAUCGUAUAGCUUUUAUCUGCAAGAAGAACAUCUCUGGCUUUUUGAAAUUCAUAGAUAAUCCAACCAUCUUUGAUUGAUCCACCAAAAUCAAUUCUUGAGGAAAUAGGCCGCCUUCUUCUUCAGCCAUAUUCUCCAUUUCAUAGUGUAUUCCUCCUCCAUCACUUUAUCUUCUCGACGAAGCAAUCAACAUGGUGUUGCAGACUCUGCAGCUCUACAGGGAAUGACAAGCUGUCUCUCUGGCUUUCGAGUUGUGGAAGAAUCUGAUGUACGACAUGGGAUUCGAGUAAAUCUUCAAACUCCCAAACUACCUCUUUGAUUCGUUCAUCCACAGCAUUCACCUUCAUCCUGAUCUUGCUGCAGCUGGUGUCGUCCAAUUUUAGCAGAAUUCUCUGCAAGCGAUCCAUCUCUUUGUAGACAGGUUGUAAGAUGUGUGGAGAAAUGAGUGGAAUGCGAAACGAUUGUAGAAUACGGUGAAUCGUAUUCUUGAGAGAAGUGGCUGCACCAUAAGCCGCCUUACCCAAAUCAUCUGAGAAUACGAUUUGUGGAGAGGGGGAAGCUAUCAAAACGCAAAAAAAAACCGCAUUCUUGAGAAAAGUCGCUGCACCAUGAGCUGAGAAUACGAUUUGUGGAGAGGGCGAAACAAGGGAAAUGCGAGAUGAUUGUAGAAUACGGUGAAUCGUAUUCUUGAGAGAAGCUGCCGCAGCAAAAGCCGCCAUAUCCAAAUAAUCUGCUGAUCGUUGAAAUAAAAUUGCUUCCACAAACUUAGCUCAAAAAUUUUCCUCCAAAACUGUGCGGUAGAAAUCGCCUAAGAAAGAAACGGAGAAGAAGAAGAAGAAUUAUACUAAUAAGCAAAUGGAGAUGAAACAAAUUAAUGAUACAUCUUUAGCUCUCUGCUGUACCUCUCGUUGGCGCAAGUCGGCGGCGGCGGCAGCUCGUUUUGAUACUGUGAGUCUUAUUUGGCCCAAACCAUCACACCAAAGCCCCUCCUGACAGGCCCAUUCCUUGCCUUCUUAAGCUUCGUUGCCCUAAUUGCUAAGUGAUGGAAAAUGAGCAAAGAAGAGGCAGCUUGAGUUCAAAAUUGGGUGAACCUAUUUCUCUCAGUGAGAUAGAGUGAGAGAUGUGUAUGAUGCAAUGGUAAAAUGGAUGUAUUGAUGAUUUUCAAGGCAAAUUAAGGUGUGGAAGAAUAAUUAUAGGAGCGACAAACAAAUUAAGCAACGGAAGAUUAAUUAUGAAGAAGAUUGAGCAAUAUUCAAGCAGUUGAACAGUUGAUCAAACGUGUUACGAUUGGAUUCAUUCCUUUAGCUGUAUUGAUAUGAUAAGAUAAGAUAAGAUUGAGUCCCUUACUACGACGCCAUAAAUACAAGUCGUGCUUUGCUUUUGCAUGGGGAAUUAGGGCCACUCAUUUCAAUAUUAAACCUACUUUACAUAAAUAUAUUUCAACUCUAUUUUUUUAUAGCAGAAAGAGCGACGUUGUACAUCUUAUUUUAUUUGAUAAGAUAAAAAUAUAUAAAUAUAGUAUCUAUUAUAUUUAAUUUUCAAUUUUAACAAUUUUGAUCUAUUUGAUUCUACAACUAUAAUAAACUCUUUUUAAAAUAAUAAUCAAUAAAUUAAUAAACUCUAUAAAUUAAUAAAUUAAUAAAUUACUUAUGUUCUAACUUGGGUCAAUUCAAAAAAUCAUCAAUUUUAAUAAAACUUUCUCCGUCCGCCAAAAAGUAUGCCACUUUUGCAUUUUUAGCGUCCGUGAAUAGUAUGUUACUUCAUUUUUAGGUACAUUUUUUUAUCAUUUAUUUUAAAAUACCUUAUUAUUUACAAAAAUAAAUAAAUAAAUAAAAAAAUCAGCCUGUAUUCAAUCACAACCACUCAUAUCAUACAAUGGUGGGACAAUUUUUCUCCACUACAUAAAAAUCACCAAUCAUUUUAUUAAAAUCGGUGUCAACCAAAGUGACAUACUUUUUGUGGAUGAAAGGAGUAAUAAUAUUUUUUAGAGAACCCUUUGUAAACAUAUAGGUCCUGUUAAUAUUAUAAAUUAAUAACUUUUAAAAUAUUACAAUUAUGUAUAUUAUGGUAACUUGUUAAAAAUAAACCUAUUGUUGAAUCAUCUUAAUUAACUAAAUUAUUGGGCUGCCAACUUAAUUAACUAAUAUACUUUCUGCUUAAUUAUCCUUAUACAAUUGUGAUUGUCUGCUUAUACUUAAUUUUUGGGCUUAGGAUUUUGAGUUCGGCCCAUGUUUUUCCUUUUCUUUAGAAUUCUUUUUGGGCUUUUGGCACUUCGACCUUUUGUUAUUUGGAUCCUUUCUCGCCCCAUCUUUUUUUCUAUUUAAAGAAAAAAAAANUAUUAGCUUCUAAAUAAAUUCAAACUUGUAUAAUAAAAAACAAAUUGAACUGAAUUGCUUACCAAAUAUUAUAACAUUUGAAAACUGUUUGAUUGAAGGGGAAGAAUGGCAGGAGAAAAAAGAUGGUGAAAGAAAUAUGGUUCAAAGAAAAUUUGCGUGAAAGUAUAUUAUUUAUAAGUGAAUUGUGUAACUGUUGAAGACGUGUGUAAUUUAAAUAAAUUGACUGCUUUAUUUAUUUAUAUCUUUUAAGUUGGUCAUUGUUGUGGGUUGGUGGGAUACAUAUGUGAGUUAAAACUACCGUGACAUGAUGUGAGUUAAAUUUGCCGUUAAAUAAUUAUUAAGAUUUUGUUAAAAAUUUGGCGCUAAAUAUUUUUCUGUUAAACUGCUUCUUUAUAUGAGAUGGAAAUAUGAUAUAUUCAUUCAGAUUAAUUGCAGCAAACUCAUCUCUUCCACCAAUCUGUAAUCAACAUGCACUAUAAACACAGAUUAAGCAGUAUAGAAUAAUUCUUGCUUGCAAACUAAAACAUUCACAAACUAAGAACACAUAAAAUUCAUGCACAAAGCGAAAAUUAUGCAUAACACAGAAAAAUUACAGUCCUUGAAUAAGAGACUAAUGUUUUCACACAAAUCCAACUUACAACAAUUUUUGCUACAAACACAUUCAGCACUCAGUUUCAUAUAUAAUUCUCAACAAAUCACAAUCCUUAAAUCCAUACAACAAUGUGGUAAUACAACAAUUGAAUUCAAAUCAUGGGAUGACGCGGCGUCUGAUCCCUUCGGCUCUCUCAUUUGCCUGAAAAUUUAAAUAUAACAAAAACACAUCAAAAUUUAAAUAAAGCCUAUUGUGAUUUGUUGUGAGACAGAUCGAUAGACAUAGUAAUGGCAUAGGAAGCCAAAAUUGAUCUCAAAUGCAAAAAUAGAGUAAUGGCCAUAUGUAAUAAACAAGCUAGACAUUUUGCUAAUAUGAAUAUCAAUCUCUGAUAAAUGAAACAGAAAUAAGUUAACUCAACUGCUCUGCUCUGAUUCUAACACCUUGUUUGAUCCUCAUAUCAAAAUUUAUCUAUACAGCUGGUUUCUUGCUUUUGAGUCUUAACCAACUAAUUCCUAGUUGAUUUUGAAAUAUGGAGCCAGAAAUUAAUUAUUAUACUGCCGGAAUUUGAGAUUUUUAAGAUAUUUAAAAAACACAUCAACUGAUUACACACAAUUCAAACAAAUGAAAAUCAUGCAUAACAAGUAAUGCUUUCACACAAAUCCAACUUACAACAAUUUCGGUUACAAACUACAUACACAAUUCAUCACUCAGGUUUCAUAGUCCUCAACAAAAUCCAAAGCAAGUCACAAUCCUUAAAUUCAUACGAUAAUGUGGUAAUACAACAAUUGAUAGAGAUGUGACUAUAACAGAAGAUAUAUAUUUAUGACAUGAAUUGAUUUGGUUUGUCUGUGAAAAAAGAGAAGAAGCAGGGAAGAAACAUUAAGACGUGAUAUAUAUUGCAAAGUAGUGAGACUACCUGUCAGGCAAGUUGCAAAGUCACUUGAGCUCAAAAACGAAGAAUAGACCAUAAGUUUAUAGGCAAACUUAUGCUUUAAUUGAUGGGCACAAGCGAAAGCUAAAGGAUUGCACUCCACUAAUUCAAUGGUCGUGAUCGAAGACUGAUCAUCCGACAAAUCAAGUUGUUGCAAUUUGUAGCAGUGCUUCAUGAUUAGUCUACGAAGCCUCGGGAGGCUUCCACGUUGAGGUCUCCAUUGCACCAAAUCGGUGUCUUCAAUUCGAAGUUCAAUAAGAUUCAAAAAACUCCCCGGUUUUAUUUCCCACUCUGGGCCUCGAAAGGCAUAGCAUUUUAAUAUGAGAAGCUCGAGUUUUGGAAGCAGCGAACCAAUGUCAUUUAGAGACCCCCAAGGAUAUCCAACGCCACUCAAUUCUAAAACAGAGAGACUUGAUGGGAACACUGAAAGAUGAAUAAUAGUAGGAAACUCACGCUUUAUCUCGGGAUUCCUGAUUCUAUAUAUAAGUGAUCGCAAAUUCUGAAUUUCUGAUAUAUAACUCAAAGAACUCAAUGGGUUGGUUUCAUCAUCAUCAUAAGGCUUCAACUCCCCUUCAAUUCCUAAUAUUUGUAAAUUAGGAAUUCUUUUGACAACUUCCCAUGUACAACUGUUUGCACUCACACCAUAAAGUCUAAGGAGCUUGUUCAAGGUAACAUCAUCAGUGUUAGGGGUUGGUAGGUCCCUUCCCCAUAUCUCAAGAUGCUCUAAAUCUUCAAUAUCCCAAAUUUGCACAGGCAAAAAAGACUGAACUCCACGCUUUUUAAUUAUCAUAUGCCUUUCAAUAAUCAAGAAUUGAAGGUGAAAAAGGUUGGAUAUGGAAGCAGGGAGGUCACCGUUGUAAGUUAUGGCAAGAAAUCGUAGACAAACUAGUUUGAAAAUUUCAGUUGAGAUAUGGUAAAAUCGGACAUCAUCAGCAUAUAAUACCCUGAGCAACUUGAAUCCCAUGGCAUGUAUUGGGAUUGGAUAUGGGUGAUAAGGACCGUAAAAAAGGAGAGAACGGACAGUGGAUGCACAAUCACUUUUUAUCGAAUCACACACUUGUUUGAAGCAUAAUAAACUGUUCCAAUGGGCACACAACCGACGCUGGUCUUUUAUAACAUCAUCACAACUUUGUAAGACAUGCAGAAACUUGAUCCUACUAGCUUCUACCCUACACACGUGCUGCCAACAAGAAUGCACGUGAUAUUUUCUAUGCCAAAACCAAUAUUCAUCCUCCUGUGAUGUGUCGAGAACAAGAUGAUAACACAGCGAAAGAUUUUCCAAGCAUGUCUUCCAAAAAUUAUCAAAACUUUCUUCUCCACUCGGUUGAAGAAACACAUCAGCACUCAACAUAGCGUUGAGCAAGCUUAGGUUGAUAUCCAAAUAUGGACGGAAAGCUCCCAUGUAGAGAAAAAACAUUUUUAAAUAUUGGGGUAAGUAAUCAUAGCUUGGGAAAAGUACCUCUGAUAUUUGAUUAUAUGCAUCCACGAAGAUUGAACUGCGUUGUUUGACGACUACCUCAGUCCAGUAUUCCGGGGUCUUGUCGGCUUUUGAUAGGAGCUCUGCAACCGUGACUAUCAUAAGAGGAAGGCCUUCACAUUUCUUGGCAAUCUUCUCUCCCAGUUCCUCAAGUUGAUGAGGGAAACCCUCUUCACCAAACACCUUCUCACCAAGUAAUUCCUUACUUUCUUUCUCAUUCAACAAGCGCACUCUUUCGUACCCAUGCUGCGUGACUAUUAUAUCUUUUCUACUUGUAAGUAAGACUCGAAUAUUUCCAUCAAUAUUCUUUUCUAGUAAGAAAUUUGUGAUCAAGCGAUCUGUUGCUUGUCCCUCCCAAACAUCAUCCAACACGACGAGACAUUUCUUAUGCUUCAAUUUUUCUUUCAAUAGUCCAUCUAAUACCUCCUCAUCAUCAUCUCCUUGGGUAAGUGUUUGGUAAGCGUUGGGAUCCACUUGAGCUAGAACACAUCGUAAUAGUUCAUUAGAUUCACAUUUUCUGCCCACUUUCACCCAUGCUCGAAACUCAAAAUGGCUCCGAAUUGAUGGAUCUUCAAAAAUAUGUUUAGCAAGAGUUGUCUUUCCAACGCCCGCCAUCCCAAUAAUCGAAUAGUGUUUAUCUUCAAGAAGAUCAUCUCUGGCUUUUUGAAAUUCAUCAGAUAAUCCAAACAUCUUUGACUUGAUUCCACCAAAAUCACUUCUUGAGGAAAUAGGCUCGCCUUCUUCUUCAGCCAUAUUCUCCAUUUCAUAAGUGUAUUCCUCCUCCAUCAUCUUUAUCUUCUCGACGAAGCAAUCAACAUGGUGUUGCAGACUCUGCAGCUCUACAGGGAAUGACAAGUUGUCUCUCUCGCUUUCG
This 18806-nucleotide long non-coding RNA is filed under the name Salvia miltiorrhiza (redroot sage). RNAcentral describes it as "long non-coding RNA (SMIL_LNC008067)". Lineage: Eukaryota; Viridiplantae; Streptophyta; Magnoliopsida; Lamiales; Lamiaceae. The record is from RNAcentral.